CAGAUAAGUUAAUGAUAAUAAAUUUCCCCACGUUACUCGUACUUUCUGACUUUCACAUUGCCUAAGAGGAUCUUAAAUAUUCUAAAUGUACGUGAAAUAGUCCUAACUGUCAAAAUAUAUUUGCUACUUUCAAAGAGGUUUAUAUGGUUGUUUGAUUUUUCAGUCAACAUCUAAUUGGAAUUUACAAUGCCCGAUAUUUCUACACAUCUGCCACAAAUUUUAUGGAAAACAAUAUUUAUAGAAACUGAACAUACCUUGGUUAAACGUAUAUGAAAUGGGUAACCAUCCUCGAAGAACAUCAACCAGCUGUCGGCAAUGUGCAGGUGGACUGAGGAAUUUUCCGGUGUGUCCUUUAUGGACUGUACUCCGUCUUAGCACUAUCCUCAAGUUUUACCCGAAAGGCCAUGCUUCAGGUUGGACCGUCUUCCAUAUAUCUACUGACUUCAUAUAAAUGAAAGUGUACUAAAGGCUCACUGAUCUACACUACCAGCUCAUGCUCAACGUUACUGAACAACAAAGUAAUCCGACAAUCAGACUGGACCCGGUCAUGUUAGAUACCAGUGGAAGGAGAUGAACAUACAAUUGACUCCGCAUCGAUGCAUGACUUCGCCCGGAACGCGGCAAGAACCAACAAUGGAAGAAAAACUACAGACGUGUUUAUUAACAAUAAAGUUAUUUUUGUUUUUAUGAAAUAGCGAUUGAAUAAAAAUAUUAGGUAUAUGA
This 723-nucleotide long non-coding RNA is filed under the name Leguminivora glycinivorella. RNAcentral describes it as "uncharacterized LOC125230241, transcript variant X1". Lineage: Eukaryota; Metazoa; Arthropoda; Insecta; Lepidoptera; Tortricidae. The record is from RNAcentral.